Molecule: non-coding RNA, 46 nt
Filed under: Candidatus Koribacter versatilis Ellin345
Lineage: Bacteria; Pseudomonadati; Acidobacteriota; Terriglobia; Terriglobales; Candidatus Korobacteraceae
Description: Acido-Lenti-1 RNA
Rfam family: Acido-Lenti-1 RNA
Source: Rfam by way of RNAcentral
CCCACCUCUUACGAGGUGGGCUAUUGCAUUUCGUCGCUUCGCGACU